RNAcentral lists this ribosomal RNA (200 nucleotides) under uncultured eukaryote. Its description in RNAcentral is "partial 18S ribosomal RNA". It matches the Rfam family "Eukaryotic small subunit ribosomal RNA", at positions 588 to 833 of the family's 1831-position model. The record is from RNAcentral.
GCUCCAAUAGCGUAUAUUAAAGUUGUUGCAGUUAAAAAGCUCGUAGUUGAAUUUCUGGGCUGGCCGGGAGGCGGCCUUCGGUCGACCUCCCCGCGAGUCAUCCUCGCCUCGGGGCGUCAUUUACUGUGAAAAAAUUAGAGUGUUUAAAGCAGGCUUCUGGCUUGAAUACAUUAGCAUGGAAUAAUGAGAUAGGACCGAGU